Molecule: ribosomal RNA, 1122 nt
Filed under: Dipteromimus tipuliformis
Lineage: Eukaryota; Metazoa; Arthropoda; Insecta; Ephemeroptera; Dipteromimidae
Description: partial 16S ribosomal RNA
Source: RNAcentral
GGUAACUUAGUCUUAUAUUCAUUAUUAAUGGAUCACACGCCUACUCAUCAGUAUUUAAUGCAUAAGAAGAGUUUAUUUUAUCUCCCCGUCACCCCAACCAAACAAUUUUAGUUUAAACCUCAACUCUCCCUAAAUCUAUUUAUUACCUAUUAAUUGUCAAACUCUAUAGGGUCUUCUCGUCCUCCAAUCCUAUUUUAGCCUUUUAACUAAAAAGUUAAAUUUUAACCCAAUCCUCACGAGACAGUCAACACCUCGUCCAACCAUUCAUGCCAGCCUCUAAUUAAGAGACUAAUGAUUAUGCUACCUUUGCACGGUCAAAAUACCGCGGCCCUUCAAGUUUUCAGUGGGCAGGCUAGACCUCUUAUAUUUUCAAGAAGCGAUGUUUUUGAUAAACAGGCGAGCAUUAAUUUGCCGAAUUCCUUAUAAAGACCUUUCCUAGAACACUUAUUCUUACAACACCCUUAUAUUAAUUUUACCAUUAUUACCCAUUUCUUUCUAUUGUAAAUGACACUUUGAUACAUAAAUUAAACCUCUCAAAAUUAAACUUUUCUUCAAUAAACUAUAACGUUAUUACUAGUUGGCUGAUUUCAAGCCUACACUUAUAAGUCCUAAUUCUAAUUAUAAACGUAUCUUUAAGCUUAUCCCCCAAAAUAUUAGUAACAACCACCUAAACCAAUCCACAAUUACCAGUUUAACACCCCCCUACCUGAAUUCAAUUCAUUUCUCAAAGAACUAGAAACCUUUAAGUUCGUUUAACAUCUCAUUCCUAAAAUAAUAUCAAUGAUAAAUUUGUAACUUUAACCACUCUAUCCUUUUAGCUCACUUAAAAUCGAGAAAACAAAAUUUAUCCUUUCAUUUAAUAAACCCUGAUACACAAGGUACAACAUUCAAUCUACUUUUCACUAACUCUUAUUUUCACUUAUUUCAACUUUCCUUCUCAGUACUAACUUUAUUAUUUAUUCUAUAAUUUCUUUACCCAAUACUCAUCCUUUUAUAUUUAUAUUGAUUCACCUAUUUAACCCUAAUUACACACACACUUCUUAAUUAGUAUACUUUUCAAAAUAAAUUGAAUUGCACAACAACCUUUCAAUGUAAAUGAAAUGCUUUACUCAACAAGCUCUA